AUGCGCCACAAUCGGUAAAUCUGGCAAGACUCAAUACCAACUCGUUGAGAAGAUAUUGCAAGCACUUCAAACUCGGAGGCAUCAAUGCUUAUUCACCAAGGGAACAAAUUCUUAAUACUGUGCAGCAGCAUUUUGUGUCGCAGCGACCACUGAAUGAGGUACAAGUGAUUUCGGAAUUCAUCACCGCAGCAAAGAGACUGAAAACUGUUGAAAGUGACACAAAGGGUGAGCAACUAUGAAUGUUGUCAAGCAUUGUAUAAUUUAAAUACAUAUUUUAACUCUAACCUUAGAUCAGAAUCUAAUGAUCGGGAAGGGUUGUCGACCCCGACCGACCGGAUUUCUUCUCUUCCAAGGAUUCUAACUCUGUAAUAUAGGGCCUAUGCUCU
Long non-coding RNA from Hibiscus syriacus, 386 nucleotides. RefSeq lists it as uncharacterized. Lineage: Eukaryota; Viridiplantae; Streptophyta; Magnoliopsida; Malvales; Malvaceae. The record is from RefSeq and is a predicted model, not a curated record. The transcript is spliced from 4 exons.